UUAUGCUAAUAUCACAUAAUGGCCAUACAGCAAGAGAUUGUAACUCCUUAUAAUGUAGUCUAAGAUAUAAACUUUGAAGAAGAACUUUCCCAUCUCUCACAGUUACAUCCUGAGUUUCUAGGUAGAUGUGAAAUUUGGGGGACCCUAUUCAACUCCCUACAGGCAUUCACACUGGGCUCAGCAUGUGGUGGUAAGGUCGUCACCCAUAAUGGCUGGAAGCUCUUUCCUUUACACCCUGAGACAGGCUCCAAGAGACCUGGUCCUGACCUAGUGAGCUCUGCUCCUUCCCCAGAGGACCCCUGAUGACCCCUAAUCUUAGGGGACAAGCCUGCUGACACUGACCAGGCUAGAGGACAUUUGUUUUCUCCCCUCCUUCAGCACCGAGGGCAGCCCUGGAGUUCUUUCUUGAUUUCCCAGAUUCUUUUUUCAGCCCUGUUCUGUUUUCUGAAUCUUUCUUUCCUAUCGAGUUAAGGAGCCUACAAUCCAACCAAAGCCAUGGUCUGAAUGUGGUCGCUACUGAGAGGCCUCCCUUCAGCAUUUCAAGGCGUGGAUAAACCCCUGGAGACUGUUUGUUCGGAUUCCGUAUGACACCAGUUUUCUCGGUCACCCUGUGUCCGACGGCUGGCUAAG
This is a long non-coding RNA of Sapajus apella (tufted capuchin), 630 nucleotides long. RefSeq lists it as uncharacterized. Lineage: Eukaryota; Metazoa; Chordata; Mammalia; Primates; Cebidae. The transcript is spliced from 2 exons. The record is from RefSeq and is a predicted model, not a curated record.